RNAcentral lists this ribosomal RNA (402 nucleotides) under uncultured bacterium. Its description in RNAcentral is "bacterial SSU rRNA". It matches the Rfam family "Bacterial small subunit ribosomal RNA", at positions 362 to 757 of the family's 1533-position model. The record is from RNAcentral.
UUUUGGACAAUGGGCGCAAGCCUGAUCCAGCCAUGCCGCGUGUAUGAAGAAGGCCUUCGGGUUGUAAAGUACUUUUGUCAGGGUAGAAAAGCCUGAGGAUAACACCCUCAGGUCAUGACGGUACCUGAAGAAUAAGCACCGGCUAACUACGUGCCAGCAGCCGCGGUAAUACGUAGGGUGCGAGCGUUAAUCGGAAUUACUGGGCGUAAAGCGAGCGCAGACGGUUAUUUAAGCAAGAUGUGAAAGCCCCGGGCUCAACCUGGGAACUGCGUUUUGAACUGGGUAACUAGAGUGUGUCAGAGGGGGGUAGAAUUCCACGUGUAGCAGUGAAAUGCGUAGAGAUGUGGAGGAAUACCGAUGGCGAAGGCAGCCCCCUGGGAUAACACUGACGUCAUGCUCGAA